GACACGGUCCAGACACCUACGGGUGGCAGCAGUCGAGAAUUUUUCACAAUGGGGGAAACCCUGAUGGAGCGACGCCGCGUGGAGGAUGAAGGCCUUCGGGUUGUAAACUCCUGUCAUUGGUGAACAAGAUCGGCCGGGUAACUCCGUUGCCGGUUUGCUAGUAGCCGAAGAGGAAGGGACGGCUAACUCUGUGCCAGCAGCCGCGGUAAUACAGAGGUCCCAAGCGUUGUUCGGAUUUAUUGGGCGUAAAGGGUGCGUAGGCGGCGGAGUAAGUUGGGUGUGAAAUCCCGGGGCUCAACCUCGGAAUUGCAUUCAAUACUGCUUCGCUCGAGUACUGGAGAGGAGGCUGGAAUUUACGGUGUAGCAGUGAAAUGCGUAGAUAUCGUAAGGAAGGCCGGUGGCGAAAGCGAGCCUCUGGACAGUUACUGACGCUGAUGCACGAAGGCCAGGGGAGCAAACGGGAUUAGAUACCCCGGUAGUCCUGGCAGUAAACGGUGCGCGUUUGGUGUGGGGGGAUUCGACAAUCUCCGCGCCGGAGCUAACGCGUUAAACGCGCCGCCUGGGAAAUACGGUCGCAAGAUUAAAACUCAAAGAAAUUGACGGGGGCC
This 608-nucleotide ribosomal RNA is filed under the name uncultured bacterium. RNAcentral describes it as "bacterial SSU rRNA". It matches the Rfam family "Bacterial small subunit ribosomal RNA", at positions 323 to 921 of the family's 1533-position model. The record is from RNAcentral.